AGAAAUCCCACCCAUAUAUUUCCAUGCAGUGGCUACUACAGAUGUUCCAUAAUUGACAGGCUGCUGGGGCUGGUAAUAAAAAGGCAAUGCAUACACCUGGACAUAUAUGCUAAGAGAGAGAACUUCCUGGCAGAAGGUUUGAUUCAAUUUAAGAGAGGAUACAUCAAGCACUUAAGGAUUUCGCAAGGAUUGAUUGAUUAUUUAUCAUGUAAUAUUGCCUGAAGUGCUUUGAUGGAGUCGUAUGUGCCGGGAUACUUGGAUGGCGAAUUAGUCCUCUGAAAGAAUAACGUCGAGCAAAGGCAUUAACGUAAUGACUCUUCUUAAAGGGGACAUGACACCAUGUGCAAGAGACUAGAAAAGAAACAGGUGACACUCAAUGUGACGGUGGCGCAUACCAAAGACGGAUGUGCUCUCCGAGUACAAUUUGGUGUUCAUAUGUAGUGAAACCUUCUGCCUUCCCGUCCGCAAAAAUGAACCCUACUUCAGGAUUCAGUAAAACAGGUGAGAGAGAGAGAGAGAGAAACUAUUUUUGGGUUUGCCACAUUUCAUCUUUAAAGGUAAUUUGGGGUACUUUUAGUGUCUCCGGGAGUGGUGACCCUGAGGCGCCGAAACUCACUGGAUGUAUUGGCUCACUGGGUGUAUGCACUGCACCACAAACUCUUCAUCUUUUGGCACUAACCCCUUUGUUUCCUGCCCUUCUAGCUAGGAUCAGGGAAAUUUUUUUAUAGAUUAGGCUGGAUGUCCGGGCCAUAUUUCACAGCGCACAUUCACUUAUUUAAUUGUUUGGCUUUUUGAUCACUGUGCCACUUUAUAUGUGUUGUUUUCGUCACUAGGAUUGGUCAGGGUGCAGUAGCCCUUUUAGGUGUCCCUCCUGCUGGUCUAGGGGAGGUGUGUGUGUGGCCAUUAGGUUCCUCGUCUCCCUGCAAACCCUGGGCAUUCCUGCAUGCCAUUGAUAUACGUCUCUGCGGGUGGAUGCCUGGGCUAACACCUAGAUUGACACCGAGAGCACUUGUGGUCUCC
This is a long non-coding RNA of Hyla sarda, 1020 nucleotides long. RefSeq lists it as uncharacterized. The transcript is spliced from 3 exons. The record is from RefSeq and is a predicted model, not a curated record. Lineage: Eukaryota; Metazoa; Chordata; Amphibia; Anura; Hylidae.